Myiozetetes cayanensis is the source of this 518-nucleotide long non-coding RNA. RefSeq lists it as uncharacterized. Lineage: Eukaryota; Metazoa; Chordata; Aves; Passeriformes; Tyrannidae. The transcript is spliced from 3 exons. The record is from RefSeq and is a predicted model, not a curated record.
CUUAGCUCUCCCUUCCAGCUCAAUGCUUUCCUUACAGCUCAGUGUGUGGAGAAGAUGGUGCUAACUUCCCUGCCUGUGUGUCUCAAAGACAGUUGCCUUCCUCUCAGCACAGUCACUUCAUCUGCCUAAGCACACUUUUACAUCUCCUUCAGUAUUACAGUAAUGGAGAAACUCCCAGACUAAUAUGUCCACCCUAAUGUGUUAAAAUAGAAAAUGCCAUCUGGUUCUGCUUAGAGAAUGAUCUUGUGCCACAACACAAGUACCAAUGCUGACUCCUACUCCCUUGUGUGGCGUAAAAGGCUCAGGGCUUACAUACAGCAUCAAGGUCUUUUCUGCACCCAAUCGCACCAGGAAGAAGGCUGGAGGUGAACAAGGAGUUAGAAGAGGACAAAGCCGGGACAGCUGAUCCCAACUGGCCAAAGGGAUAUUCCAUACCCUAUGGCAUCAUGCUCAACAUAUAAUGCUGGGGGGAGAAGGAGGAAGGGGGUAUCUCUGGAGUUAUGGCAUUCAUCUUCCCC